Molecule: ribosomal RNA, 429 nt
Filed under: Gemmatimonadota bacterium
Lineage: Bacteria; Pseudomonadati; Gemmatimonadota
Description: Gemmatimonadetes bacterium partial 16S ribosomal RNA
Rfam family: Bacterial small subunit ribosomal RNA
Source: RNAcentral
UAGGGAAUCUUCGGCAAUGGACGAAAGUCUGACCGAGCAACGCCGCGUGAGUGAAGAAGGUUUUCGGAUCGUAAAACUCUGUUGUUAGAGAAGAACAAGGACGUUAGUAACUGAACGUCCCCUGACGGUAUCUAACCAGAAAGCCACGGCUAACUACGUGCCAGCAGCCGCGGUAAUACGUAGGUGGCAAGCGUUGUCCGGAUUUAUUGGGCGUAAAGCGAGCGCAGGCGGUUUCUUAAGUAUGAUGUGAAAGCCCCCGGCUCAACCGGGGAGGGUCAUUGGAAACUGGGGGACUUGAGUGCAGAAGAGGAGAGUGGAAUUACAUGUGUAGCGGUGAAAUGCGUAGAUAUAUGGGGGAACACCAGUAGCGAAGGCGGCUCUCUGGUCUGUAACUGACGCUGAGGCUAGAAAGCGUGGGGAGCAAACAGG